AUGAACGCUGGCGGCGUGCCUAAUACAUGCAAGUCGAGCGAACGGACGAGAAGCUUGCUUCUCUGAUGUUAGCGGCGGACGGGUGAGUAACACGUGGAUAACCUACCUAUAAGACUGGGAUAACUUCGGGAAACCGGAGCUAAUACCGGAUAAUAUUUUGAACCGCAUGGUUCAAAAGUGAAAGACGGUCUUGCUGUCACUUAUAGAUGGAUCCGCGCUGCAUUAGCUAGUUGGUAAGGUAACGGCUUACCAAGGCAACGAUGCAUAGCCGACCUGAGAGGGUGAUCGGCCACACUGGAACUGAGACACGGUCCAGACUCCUACGGGAGGCAGCAGUAGGGAAUCUUCCGCAAUGGGCGAAAGCCUGACGGAGCAACGCCGCGUGAGUGAUGAAGGUCUUCGGAUCGUAAAACUCUGUUAUUAGGGAAGAACAUAUGUGUAAGUAACUGUGCACAACUUGACGGUACCUAAUCAGAAAACCACGGCUAACUACGUG
This 496-nucleotide ribosomal RNA is filed under the name uncultured bacterium. RNAcentral describes it as "partial 16S ribosomal RNA". It matches the Rfam family "Bacterial small subunit ribosomal RNA", at positions 29 to 507 of the family's 1533-position model. The record is from RNAcentral.